Biomphalaria pfeifferi is the source of this 425-nucleotide non-coding RNA. The record is from the annotation of a GenBank genome assembly. Lineage: Eukaryota; Metazoa; Mollusca; Gastropoda; Planorbidae.
UGACAAAAAAAAAAAAAAAAAAAAGAAAAUUAAAAUAAGCCCUGCAUCAGAUGUGGAAAAAUAUUCAUGCCGCAAUUGGGUUUGCAUAGUCAUGUGAAACAUUGCACUCAUCCGUAAUCUUUGGAUUUAAAGAUUUUGCCAUUUUAACUAAAAAUGUAUGUCUACAUCUAUUUGAAUAUAACUUAAGUUUUUCUUAUAAAGUGACACAAAACUACAGCAAAUUUUGAAAUCCAUGCAUGCAAAAUAUAAGAUUCUUGAUUUGUGGUGUAUCAGCACUAAACAGAUUAUUUAAUGUUUCAUUUAGUCCAUUCUAAAAUAUUAAAUAUUCAUCUAGUUGAAAGAAAUUUUUAUUUAUUUAUUUUAACUUUUAAUUCAAUUUUAUUUAUUUUUUUACACUUUAUUUCAUUUUUUUUUUUAAAAUUCUU